GAUGAACGCUGGCGGCGUGCCUAACACAUGCAAGUCGAACGAAAGGACCAGAUUCUUGCUUCUCUGAUGUUAGCGGCGGACGGGUGAGUCACACGUGGACAACCUACCUCUAAGACUGGGAUACCUUCGGCAAACCGUAGCUACUAACGGAUAAUAUUUUGACCUGCAUGGUUCACAAGUGAAAGACGGUCUUGCGGUCACUUAUAGACGGAUCCGCGCUGCAUUAGCUAGUUGGCUAGGUAACGGCUUAACAAGGCAACGAUGCAUAGCCGACCUGAGAGCGAGAUCGGCCACACUGGAGGUGAGACACGGCAGAGACACUUAGGGGAGGCAACAGUAGGGAAUCUUCCGCGAUGGGGGAAAGCCUGACGGAGGAAAGCCGCGUGAAUGAUGAAGGUCCUCGGAUGGGAAAGCGCUGUUAGUAGUGAAGAACACAUGUGUUAGUAACUGUGCUCAUCAUGACGGUACCGAGUCAAAAAGCCACGGCUAACUACGUG
This 497-nucleotide ribosomal RNA is filed under the name uncultured bacterium. RNAcentral's name for it is "partial 16S ribosomal RNA". It matches the Rfam family "Bacterial small subunit ribosomal RNA", at positions 28 to 507 of the family's 1533-position model. The record is from RNAcentral.